GGUGAACGCUGGCGGUAGGCCUAACACAUGCAAGUCGAACGGCAGCACAGUAAGAGCUUGCUCUUACGGGUGGCGAGUGGCGGACGGGUGAGGAAUACAUCGGAAUCUACUUUUUCGUGGGGGAUAACGUAGGGAAACUUACGCUAAUACCGCAUACGACCUACGGGUGGGAGCGGGGGAUCUUCGGACCUUGCGCGAUUGAAUGAGCCGAUGUCGGAUUAGCUAGUUGGCGGGGUAAAGGCCCACCAAGGCGAAGAUCCGUAGCCGGUCUGAGAGGAUGAACAGCCACUCUGGAACUGAGACACGGUCCAGACUCCGAGGGGAGGCAGCAGUGGGGAAUAUUGGACGAUGGGCGCAAGCCUGAUCCAGCCAUACCGCGUGGGUGAAGAAGGCCUUCGGGUUGUAAAGCCCUUUUGUUGGGAAAGAAAAGCAGCAGGUUAAUACCCCGCUGUUCUGACGGUACCCAAAGAAUAAGCACCGGCUAACUUCGUG
RNAcentral lists this ribosomal RNA (492 nucleotides) under uncultured bacterium. Its description in RNAcentral is "partial 16S ribosomal RNA". It matches the Rfam family "Bacterial small subunit ribosomal RNA", at positions 28 to 507 of the family's 1533-position model. The record is from RNAcentral.